AACGAACGCUGGCGGCAUGCCUAACACAUGCAAGUCGAACGAAGUCUUCGGACUUAGUGGCGCACGGGUGCGUAACGCGUGGGAAUCUGCCCUUGGGUGCGGAAUAACUUCUCGAAAGGGAUGCUAAUACCGCAUAAUGUCGUAAGACCAAAGAUUUAUCGCCCAAGGAUGAGCCCGCGUAAGAUUAGCUAGUUGGUGGGGUAAAAGCCUACCAAGGCGACGAUCUUUAGCUGGUCUGAGAGGAUGAUCAGCCACACUGGGACUGAGACACGGCCCAGACUCCUACGGGAGGCAGCAGUGGGGAAUAUUGGACAAUGGGCGAAAGCCUGAUCCAGCAAUGCCGCGUGAGUGAUGAAGGCCCUAGGGUUGUAAAGCUCUUUUACCAGGGAUGAUAAUGACAGUACCUGGAGAAUAAGCUCCGGCUAACUCCGUGCCAGCAGUCGCGGUAAU
This 450-nucleotide ribosomal RNA is filed under the name uncultured bacterium. RNAcentral describes it as "bacterial SSU rRNA". It matches the Rfam family "Bacterial small subunit ribosomal RNA", at positions 29 to 524 of the family's 1533-position model. The record is from RNAcentral.